UGGCGACCGGCGCACGGGUGAGUAACGCGUAUGCAACCUACCUAGUCAGAGGGGAAUAACCCGGCGAAAGUCGGACUAAUACCGCAUAAAACAGGGGCACCGCAUGGUGAUAUUGUUAAAGAAAUUCGCUGAUAGAUGGGCAUGCGUUCCAUUAGGUAGUUGGUGAGGUAACGGCUCACCAAGCCGACGAUGGAUAGGGGAACUGAGAGGUUGGUCCCCCACACUGGUACUGAGACACGGACCAGACUCCUACGGGAGGCAGCAGUGAGGAAUAUUGGUCAAUGGGCGGGAGCCUGAACCAGCCAAGUCACGUGAAAGGAAGAAGGAUCUAUGGUUCGUAAACUUCUUUUGCAGGGGAAUAAAGUGCAGGACGUGUCCUGUUUUGUAUGUACCCUGAGAAUAAGGAUCGGCUAACUCCGUGCCAGCAGCGGC
This 432-nucleotide ribosomal RNA is filed under the name uncultured bacterium. RNAcentral describes it as "bacterial SSU rRNA". It matches the Rfam family "Bacterial small subunit ribosomal RNA", at positions 89 to 518 of the family's 1533-position model. The record is from RNAcentral.